GGAGGGAUAGCUCCGUGGUAGAGCACAUGCUUAGCAUGCAUGAGGUCCUGGGUUCAAUCCUCAGUACCUCUA
Transfer RNA from Camelus ferus (Wild Bactrian camel), 72 nucleotides. It matches the Rfam family "tRNA". From Rfam's summary of the family: Transfer RNA (tRNA) molecules are approximately 80 nucleotides in length. Their secondary structure includes four short double-helical elements and three loops (D, anti-codon, and T loops). The record is from Rfam. NCBI's taxonomy places the organism in Eukaryota, Metazoa, Chordata, Mammalia, Artiodactyla, Camelidae.